AAUAUUGGUCAAUGGGCGCAAGCCUGAACCAGCCAUGCCGCGUGCAGGAUGACUGCCCUAUGGGUUGUAAACUGCUUUUGUACGGGAAGAAACCCCUCUACGUGUAGAGGCUUGACGGUACCGUAAGAAUAAGGAUCGGCUAACUCCGUGCCAGCAGCCGCGGUAAUACGGAGGAUCCGAGCGUUAUCCGGAAUCAUUGGGUUUAAAGGGUCCGUAGGCGGGCCGUUAAGUCAGGGGUGAAAGUCUGCGGCUCAACCGUAGGACUGCCCUUGAUACUGGCGGCCUUGAGUUAUGGCGAAGUGGCCAGAAUAUGUGGUGUAGCGGUGAAAUGCAUAGAUAUCACAUGGAAUACCGAUUGCGAAGGCAGGCCACUAGCCAUAUACUGACGCUGAUGGACGAAAGCGUGGGUAGC
Molecule: ribosomal RNA, 412 nt
Filed under: uncultured bacterium
Lineage: Bacteria
Description: bacterial SSU rRNA
Rfam family: Bacterial small subunit ribosomal RNA
Source: RNAcentral